AUGGGGGAAACCCUGACGCAGCAACGCCGCGUGGAGGAAGAAGGUCUUCGGAUUGUAAACUCCUGUCUUCAGGGACGAAUCAAUGACGGUACCUGAGGAGGAAGCCACGGCUAACUACGUGCCAGCAGCCGCGGUAAUACGUAGGUGGCGAGCGUUGUCCGGAAUUACUGGGCGUAAAGGGCGCGUAGGCGGCUCUUUAAGUCAGAUGUGAAAACCCAGGGCUUAACUCUGGGACUGCAUUUGAAACUGAAGGGCUUGAGUGCAGGAGAGGUAAGUGGAAUUCCUAGUGUAGCGGUGAAAUGCGUAGAUAUUAGGAGGAACACCAGUGGCGAAGGCGACUUACUGGACUGUAACUGACGCUGAGGCGCGAAAGCGUGGGGAGCAAACAGGAUUAGAUACCCUGGUAGUCCACGCUGUAAACGAUGGAUACUAGGUGUGGGAGGUAUCGACCCCUUCCGUGCCGCAGUAAACGCAAUAAGUAUCCCGCCUGGGGAGUAC
This 498-nucleotide ribosomal RNA is filed under the name uncultured bacterium. RNAcentral's name for it is "bacterial SSU rRNA". It matches the Rfam family "Bacterial small subunit ribosomal RNA", at positions 371 to 883 of the family's 1533-position model. The record is from RNAcentral.